UGUGUAACCUGCCCUUAACUCUGGGAUAAGCCUGGGAAACUGGGUCUAAUACCGCAUAUGACUCCUCAUCGCAUGGUGGGGGGUGGAAAGCUUUAUUGUGGUUUUGGAUGGACUCGCGGCCUAUCAGCUUGUUGGUGAGGUAAUAGCUCACCAAGGCAACGACGGGUAGCCGGCCUGAGAGGGUGACCGGCCACACUGGGACUGAGACACGGCUCAGACCUCCGUACGGGAGGNAG
This 236-nucleotide ribosomal RNA is filed under the name uncultured bacterium. RNAcentral's name for it is "partial 16S ribosomal RNA". It matches the Rfam family "Bacterial small subunit ribosomal RNA", at positions 118 to 351 of the family's 1533-position model. The record is from RNAcentral.